GUGGGGAAUCUUCCGCAAUGGACGAAAGUCUGACGGAGCAACGCCGCGUGAGUGAAGAAGGUUUUCGGAUCGUAAAGCUCUUUCGUUAGGGACGAACGUGCUCUUUGUGAAUAAUGAGGAGUAAUGACGGUACCUAAAUAAGAAGCCACGGCUAACUACGUGCCAGCAGCCGCGGUAAUACGUAGGUGGCAAGCGUUGUCCGGAAUUAUUGGGCGUAAAGCGCGCGCAAGCGGGAUAUCAAGUCUGUCUUAAAAGUGCGAGGCUCAACCUCGUGAGGGGACAGAAACUGGUAUUCUUGAGUGUCGGAGAGGAAAGUGGAAUUCCAAGUGUAGCGGUGAAAUGCGUAGAGAUUUGGAAGAACACCAGUGGCGAAGGCGACUUUCUGGACGAUGUCUGACGCUGAGGCGCGAAAGCUAGGGGAGCGAACGGGAUUAGAUACCCGGGUAGUCC
Molecule: ribosomal RNA, 450 nt
Filed under: uncultured bacterium
Lineage: Bacteria
Description: partial 16S ribosomal RNA
Rfam family: Bacterial small subunit ribosomal RNA
Source: RNAcentral